Long non-coding RNA from Scomber scombrus (Atlantic mackerel), 1048 nucleotides. RefSeq lists it as uncharacterized. Lineage: Eukaryota; Metazoa; Chordata; Actinopteri; Scombriformes; Scombridae. The record is from RefSeq and is a predicted model, not a curated record. The transcript is spliced from 3 exons.
AAGGGGUCUGUGAAACAUCGUAAGGACGUUUUCGUGUGUACAACAGAGUUUGGUCUUUCUUACAGAGAAGAGUUUACAAGUGGAAACAGUGACGCUCUUGAAGUGAAGUGCACAAUUCAUUGCAGAGGUAAAGCAGGAAAGAAAAAAUAGUUUUUGCUUUUCGUGAGCUGCGUCUAAGCGUCAGCAUGGAAGUGAAAGAAGAGGUGUUGGAUAUUCUUCAUAAGGUGUGGAUCAAACUGCAGGAUCUGCCGCAGGCCAGUCGGCUGGAGCUGGGAGCCUUCUUUGUGCUCAUCCUGUUUGUCGCAACCUUUCUCUUCAUGAUCGUGCUGUCCUGCGUCCACUGCUGCUGCUGCGGGAAGCCAAAAUACCAGGCCUCCAGAGUCGAGCCCCUACAGGCCAUCUGAAGUCCACACCAGAUUCUAUUUGUACAUAAAUACAGCCUCCUUCACCUUUCCUUCCGAUCCUCCGAUCUCUUGGAGGACACCAUCAGAGGAGAUGCUGGACAUGAAGGACGGGGACACAUUUCCAUUAUAUUUCCAGCACUGGGUUAAAAGACUGAAUCAACAUCCAGAAAGAGCCACGUCACUGGAAACCACUGAAAUCAGCAGGCUGGCGUCAAGAUUCAACAAAGACCGGGACAAUGAAACACUGUGUGCUGUUUCCAAGAACAAAAAACUUCAUGCUCAUAGAGGAGCAAGAAAUGUAAUGUCACGGUGGCUCUUUUAUUACAAAUUUAGUAGUUUGGUAUCCUGUUGAUAUUCAGCAGGAAUGUAAAAAACAACACCGACAUUCCUAUUCACGUUAUAUAUAUAUACAGUGUACAUGUUUUCAACUAUUAGCUGGUGUAAAAAGAUAGUGCGCCCUCUGCUGGCCCAGUGAGAAUUGUGCCAAUGGAACAUAUGAGACUGUAGUGUGUUAUUGUAUGUGCAAUGUAAUAAUAUAGUAAAUGUAAGUGUUAUUAUUACUGUGCCUGGCCUCUUUUUUUUACUGAAACAAUGCAAGUUGUUGACUGAAGCCGGAUGGUAGUAUGUUUAGUUCUUACUUGUAU